AGCAAUAAAGAACCCGGUGACAGGUGCUGCAUGGCUGUCGUCAGCUCGUGUCGUGAGAUGUUGGGUUAAGUCCCGCAACGAGCGCAACCCUCGCCUUUAGUUGCCAGCAUUCAGUUGGGCACUCUAGAGGGACUGCCGGUGUCAAACCGGAGGAAGGUGGGGAUGACGUCAAGUCCUCAUGGCCUUUAUGUCUAGGGCUACACACGUACUACAAUGGCCGGUACAGAGGGCAGCGACCUGGUGACAGGUAGCGAAUCUCCAAAGCCGGUCUCAGUUCGGAUCGGAGUCUGCAACUCGACUCCGUGAAGCUGGAUUCGCUAGUAAUCGGAUAUCAGCAAUGAUCCGGUGAAUACGUUCCCGGGCCUU
Molecule: ribosomal RNA, 366 nt
Filed under: uncultured Syntrophobacter sp.
Lineage: Bacteria; Pseudomonadati; Thermodesulfobacteriota; Syntrophobacteria; Syntrophobacterales; Syntrophobacteraceae
Description: bacterial SSU rRNA
Rfam family: Bacterial small subunit ribosomal RNA
Source: RNAcentral